Molecule: long non-coding RNA, 8505 nt
Organism: Acinonyx jubatus (cheetah)
Lineage: Eukaryota; Metazoa; Chordata; Mammalia; Carnivora; Felidae
Exons: 3
Source: RefSeq, a predicted model, not a curated record
AGGCCAAACCCCCUCCUGCUCACAGAGCCAGAGCAGACACAAGGGUAGAGCUGGACAGUGUUAGCUCUCACUUCCUUCUGCAGCCUUGACUGUGUUCCCAUGGCCUCCUCAGUCUAAAGGUUGCUUCUCUGCCUUCCACAGUCAAAGCCAACAAAUGAAAAUAAUCACUAGUGGGAGCUGGGCGGGAGUACCCAGGAUUCUGGUCAAUCACUCUUCAACUCAGAACAAGAGGAAGGCCUGCGGCAUGUCUGCUCCUGCCCUCCUCCAGCCAAGGAUGAGCUAUGUUUCACGUUCUGGCAGGCAGCAUCAUACAAAGUUCUGUUGAGUUCUGAGAUGGGUAUGACCGGAAGAAGCAACCUGGGGAGUGAAAGAAGCCCCCUGUCUUACAGGGAUACAGAGCUGUUAUUAACAGAGCCUGUGGCAUCCUUCCAGCACACAGACAUUCCCAGACAAAACCAUCCGGGCUGACCUGCUGCAGGUAAGAUCUGCACUCUGAUUUUACCAGUGAUUCAUCUACACUCUUUUGUCGAGCAUUUAAUGCCUCUCCAAGCAUCUCCACUCCUUGCAAACAAAAAAUCCAGGAGGAAAACUUUCAAAGCCAGUUUCUUCUCAGCUGCAACCCUUCCUUCCUUCCUCCUUCCCAAAACUGUCUGACUGAACUCGCAACCUGACCCCACCCUGGGCUGGGCCCUCCACACAGGCAUUGUGGCUUCUCUUGCCAGCUGCAGCCUGUGCAGACAGAAUACCUGGGAACUGCUGCCAAAACAGGAAGGUCGGCGCCUCUCAGAAGGGAGGCCUGGGGAGUAUCCGUCUCCUAGGUGACUACAGAUAAGAGAUGAAGGGGCCAGGGCUUUCCACACCUCCAGUCACAUUCCAGAGCCUUUCCCUUGUACCCUCAGUCUAUCUGAUUCAUUCUUCAUUCAUUCACUCAGCAAACAUACUGAGCACCUGCUGAUAUAAAGCCCUGUUCUGGAGCUGGGGACAAAAGGGGAUUGAGAUGUCUGUCUGUCUCCAGGGGCACCAGUGUUGCUGUGACAGGCCUCUUGGUGUAGGGGCAGCCCUGGACACCUUGGACUUCUCAGGAGCCCCCGGUGAAACCACCUCUCUGCACUCCCACCAGUAGAGUCCCGAAGAUAACAUGACAAACAAGGCAACGGAGGGUUUGGGUAGGGGACUGGGCAGUAGAUGAUGCAGCCCCAGCCCCACCUCCUGGGCCUCAUCUCUCCCUGAGCACAACAAUAUGGCUUCCAGAAAUUAGGUCCACUCUCUGGUCCCAAGGACACAUCUUGUCACAACCAACUGGAAGGUUGGCUGUGCUAACUGGCAUACCUGUUGGGCUCUGAUCUGGUGCGUGAAUAAACCUUUCAAGCCUAAAUCAUCAACACCGCCUGAGUCUGCAAAAAGCCUUCAAAAGCCUGCUCAUUACCAGUCUACAAUGGAGCAAGUCUUUAACUGGAUAGCAACUAACUUUUAUCCAUCAUGGCAAAAUCUGUGUUUUGCAAAGGGGGAUUAGGGCAGUAAUGAGGACCCCAGGCUGAGCCAGAAACCCCAGUAUAGUAGCCCAUUCAAAGGAUCCAGCCAUGAAUAGCGGUAGAGGGAAAGAGAGAAGUUCAGAGUAGGAAACCAGGAUAUGAAGGGGGUGGGGGGUAAGGAGUCAGAAAGGGAUGGAGAGAAAGGAAAAGAAAGGAAAAGAAGAUAGGAAAAAUCUAAAAGAGGGCUGCUUCCCAUCCCUUUUACCAUGGCCACAAAUUCCAGCAGAUGGUCGGCUGUCCCCACUAGGGGUCCUGUGGUCCUGUUCCUUUCUGAAUUAGCAAAACUUUCCAAGGAGUCACCUAAGAAAGUGCAGAAACUCUCACCUCUGCUGGGGUCAGACUGCCUGAGACCAACAAUAUGGAGGACUGAGGGCUGAGCAGUCUGGGAGCCAGGCCUCACCCCUGCAUUCUCCAGGAAGAGGAAUGGGGCCUGAGGACCCAGGAAGGAGCACCAGGUCCUAUCCUGAUUGACGUCAUGCCCUGCCCUGAAUUGGAUCCUGGUCAGCUGACCUUGUCUAUUCCCACAGUGCCGGAGGGAUUCGGGAACCAUGUUUUAGCCACUUCAGUACCUGGUUCUGGCUCCUCACCUAGCCUCAUAGUCCUCUGUCUCGUUCCUGCUUCCCCUUCAAGCGCUGACCCAUAAUAUCUCUGAUCAUGUAUGGGAAGGCCCAGCCGAGACUAACAGGUUCUCAGAUGCCCUUGAUCUAAAGGCGAAGGUGAGCAGUAAAGGAUUUGGUGGAGGAGAAUGGCUCCAUCACCCUUGUUCAAGGGCAUGCCAGACCACCAUGGAAUAGUGCUUUAGAGUCAGGAGCUCUGGGUUCCAAUUUCGGCUAAGCCACUUACUAUGCAAUCUUAGGAAAGUUGCAUAACAUCUCAGGGCUUCAAUGUUCUUGUCUGUAAAAUGGGAAUAACCAUCCCACCCAUAUCACUAGGUUGCUUUAAGGUUUAAUUAGAACGAUAUAUGGGAACACCUGGGUGGCUCAGUCGGUUGAGUGUCUGACUUUGGCUCAGGUCAUGAUCUCAUAGUUUGCGAGUUCGAGCCCCACAUCGGGCUCUAUGCUGUCAGCUCAGAGCCUGGAGCCUGCUUCGGAUUCUGUGUCUCCUUCUCUCUGCCCCUCCCCCACUCACACUCCUCCCUCUCUCUCUCUCUCUCUCUCUCUCUCUCUCAAAGAUAAACAAACAUUAAGAAAAAAAAUUUUUAAAGAAUAAUAUAUGUAAAGUGCCUGACAUAAAGUUGGCACUCAUUAUAAUUUUCCCACAUACAUACAUACACACGAAUAAGCAGGUUUUGUGACACAUAGGGCCCUUAGCUGAGUGCUAGCCAAAUGAGACAGGCAGAGGAAGGAGGAGCCAGUCUCUGUCCCGAGCCCCCUCUUAGAGCAAUGAAUUCUUUGGUCUUGUCUCCAGGAUUCUGCCAGUCUGAGCAGUAUGACACGUGGCCUCACCACUGUCUGGCUCUUACUCCACUGAGUUUGUGUUAGACAGCAAAGCAGAUGCUAUAUGAGCAGGGGGCCAGACAGGGGUUCUCGACCCUGGGUGUACAGUAGAAUCACCUGGAAAGUUAGAAAAUACAGCCCAAUAGGUCCCGCCCAUCGGUGCUGGGUGACUUGGUCUGGGGUGGGGCUCCCCUGUCACUUCUAAUGUGCAGGCAGCGUUGAGACCCCCAGGGAUAGAGGCUGGGUCAUCAGUUAUUCCAAGAAGACUCUAUUCCACUCUGCUGGACCAGGGAGGGCUGAGUUCCGAGGCCUGGCUUCUCAGAACUUACUUCACUUCUCUGGGUUCUUGCAUCUGUGAGAUGGAGAAAAUAACCCGGCCCAGCCUCCUUAUCUGUGAGGGUCUCAUGAGAUGGUGGGUGUGAAAGCUUUCAGUACAGCAUCACCUACUUGACCACCGUGUAAGUAAAAUGCCAAUGCCAGGAUACCAUAGACCAUUCUACACAAAGGAGUCGUGCUUCCUCCUAGUACCUCUGUGGGCAGAGAGGAAAGACUGAGCGAGCUACCCUGGGACAAGGCUCCCUGGCCCUCAGAGGCCAGAAAACAAACAGCCAGAAUCACGACUCCACACAGAGGCCACCUGGGGCACUGCAAGGCCUUCCAGGCAGGACUUGCUCCCAGGCUUUGGAAAACCCUUCCCAGCAAAGCUAUACAGAGAUGCCCUCCCACCACAGGGGGAAAGGAGCCCACAAGGAAGGCUCAGGAAGACACGUGGCUGGGAAGAUGAUGCUACAGAGUCAUGAUGGUAGCUGGGCCACUGUCUUCAUCUCAGGAAGAAAAAGGGGCCUUAGGGAAGAUGUUCCAGAGUGGGGGCACAGAUGUGCCAUCUGCACCUGCUGGCACCAGAAGAGGUCACAGUCUGCAUCACCAUCUUUCCCUUAGUGUGCGCAUUCCUGCGCAAAUAUUUACUGAACUACUAUAUGCCGGGCACCGUGCAUCCCAGGGACACCACAAGCCUUGUCCUCAGUACCCCAAGUGCAGGCUGAUUGCAAGCUCCAGGGAAGCAGCCAAAACAUUCAUGUGUUUGUUAUAUCCUGAAUGGACCAGGAAACAGUCAUCGGAAGAGAUUAUGGGGUAUGUUCUUUGGUAAAGAAUAUUAAUCUUUAGGAUACCUGCUUUGUAUGUUAGGAAUUCUAUCAGAGAGGAUUUGUUGUUGUUUAAUACGGAAAAGUGAAAAAAAAAAAGCCUCUUCUGUGAAUUAAAUUCCAUCUUAGUAUAAGUGUGGUGCUAUUGGCUUCAAAAUCGGCAUGCUGUCCCCAAGCGCCAGCCCAUCCCGGUGCUUCAUCUCCAGGCCUGACUGCCCCUGGGAGCCCUCGGCCACCACACAUCACUGCCUUCUAGUCGUCUCCACUUGGACCUCACUUGAACUCUUAUGCUGACCUCUCCCUCUCCCCCACAUCUAUUCCUGCCAGAUUCCUCCCAGAUCCCAGUAGCGCGAAGCCAUCAGCCAGUCAGCCACGUCGCUCCACUCUGCCUCAUCUCUACAUCCCACCCUGCCAUUUCAUCUGUCUUUAACCUGCCCCCUUUCCUGUCUGCAGAGGCUCUGGAGCAUCACUGCUUUCCCAGAUCACUGCAACAGCCUCUCAAAUAAGUUUCCUGCCUCCGUCCUCCACCCCUACCCCAAGCCACUGGUUUUCCAUACCGUGGCCAGAGCAGUUUUCUAAAAUGGAAAACUUAUGUCACAUUUCCCACUGCCCCAAGACAAAGCCCAGGCCCCUAAGCGUGACAGCCCAGGCUUUCAGGAGCUGGCUGCACGUGCUCUGCAGGCUCCUCUUCACACGUGCCACUCGGGGCUCUCUCAUUUUCCCAAGCACAGCAGGCUCCUGGGUCUUUGCAUGAACUGCAAGAUGUGCUUCCUUCUCUUCUUCCUCUGGCUAAAUCCUGUACUCCUUUAGCACUCAGAGCUCAGCAGGAAUCUGCUCUGGAAAACCUUCCCUGACUCAGGCUGGACUGGGAGUCCCCUCACCCCAAAAUCCUUGUCACAGGACUUGUCACUUAAUAACCGUUUACUUGUCUGGGUCUCCCGGGACGCCGUAAGAGUUAAAAUGAAAGAAAUGGCAAGGCGUGACCUACCAUGAACAAAUCUCAAAAAUAUGGGAAAAGCAAACCACAAAAUCAUUCAAUCAUCCACACUAUUUAAAUAUUUACCAGGUGAGUGGGUCCAUACGGUAUGAUAAAAUGUGUGUAAAACUUUCAAAGACUAAACAAUAAUAGAGAUCAACGGUGGUAUCUACAUAUGUUAGAAAAAUAAAAACACACGGGAGGGACAAAUAUCAGACUCAGGAUGGUGGUCGCCGGCGGGGGGGGGGGGGGGGGGAGAAAAGGGAGUGGAGCAAAGUACUACUUAAAUUGUACCUGUAACACUUUACACGUUUUUAUUUUUAAGAGAGUUCUGAAACAAAACUGGCAAAAUAUCAUCCAUUAAAUUUGGGGGAUGGGUAGAUGAGAAUCUGUUACAUUAUUUCCUGUAUAUUUGAAAUAUUUCAUCAGUACAUUUUUUAAAACUUUUAAUGAGGAACCAGAGUCUCCAAUGCCCUCGUUAAAAACCCCGGGGGGCCUGAGCACACCGCUGUGGCUGCCUGCCCCACCACACAAUCAAAAAUGCAAUCCGGUGUCAUAAACACUUUUAUCCUCACUUUUGCCAAUGAGAAAACCAAGGCUCAGAACAGGUAACCUUGCUCAAGACCACCAGAGGCUUCCAGAUUUCAGACCAUAUUCAUCGUAUACAAUUCCUACUAUUUCAUCCAAGAGAGAGCACCUAUGUCAAACGGAGUAUGUAGAGAGAAUUCUAGAUGUAGGAACAGGGCUGUAUUCAUAUGUAUUUAUGACCCAGUGAGUGAAGAUAUUUCUGGGAGAAGAGGGUGCAGGAAGGUGCAGAGUUGGAGAUGCAACCAAACAAGUAAUUUGGGGCUAGCCCGUGAAACUCAGUUAAUACAAACCCACUAGGUUUGGACUCUGUCCUAUAGGCAAUAGAAGGCCGCUGGAAAUGUUUAAGCUGGAGAGUAACCUAAGCAAAGCAUGGUUUUAGGAAAAGUAAUCUGGCUUCAGUGUACAGGAGGGUUGGUUGCCCAUAGGAGAUGGGUAGAAUCAACCAAAAGGAAGUUCCUGGAAGGAUAAAUUCAGAUCUGGAAAUCUUCUAAGUGCCCCACAUAAGAAGUGGCCUCUGCUGAUCUAAGGGGAGAAUUGUUGGUUUGAAAAGGGUAGGAAGGUUUAAGCUACACAGAGAAAUAAAAGUUCACUCCAGCUUUCCAGGCAUGGGGAAAUGGUGUAGACAUUUGGGAGAUAACCUAAUUAUUUGCUUAUUGGGUUUUUUUCAGGUGUUUUGUUUUGUUUUGUUUUGUUUUGUUUUGUUUUGUUUUGGCUAGGGGGUGAGGAGGAGAAGAUAAAUAAAGGGAAGAGGAAAAAAUGCAAGACUUCAGUUUUGCUUCUAAUUCAAGGUGAUGCUCAGACAUCCAGGGAGAAAUGGAAUGGCAGUUGGUGACAUGGGAGCUCCAUCCAAGAAAGCUGAAGAAGCAGACGACAGCAGCAGUGGUCCUGGCAGGAUCCCUCUGAAGAAGACAGCACAGAGAAAAGCAGCGCUGACAACUGACCCGUGGUCCCCUGCCUGUGUCCAGGACAAGAAGACUCAGAAAAGAGUCAAGGUAGCAUUGUGUUGAAGAAGAAAUGGGAAGAGACUGAUUCCAGUCAGCACAGGUGGUUGCCGUAGUCUGAAGGUUUGUGUACCCUCCCCUCCAAAUUCAUAUGUUGAAGCCUAAUCCUCAGUGCGAUGGUAUGUGGAGGUGGGCCUUUGGGAUGUGAUUAGGUCAUGAGGGUGGAGCCUUCUUCAAUGGGAUCAGUGCCCUUAUAAAGGAGGCCUCAGAAAGUUUCCUUGUCCUCUGGUCACAUGAGGACACAGUGAGAGGACAGCCUUCUACAAACUAGGAAGCAGGCCCUUGCAAGACAUUACAUCUGCCAGUGCCUUGAUUUUGGAUUUCCAGCCUCCAGAACUGUGAAAAAUAAAUGUCCAUUGUUUAUAAGCUACCCGGUCUAGGGUAUUUUGUUAUAGCAGCCUGAGUGGACUGAGACAGUGGUCAGUGGUGCAAGGGGGUCAGGUAUAAGAAAUGAGCAAAGGUUCUGGAUUUAAAGACCAAGAGGUCAUUGGGACCUCAAGUACAGCAUUUUCAGCAGAUGGCAGAGUCAGCCAUGCCUGACCCUUGAUCUUUUAAUAGCUCCUAACAGCAAGUUGGCCUUACAGCUGGGCAUAGGCAGACCCGGAUCCCACCCGCCAGACUCAGCACAUGAACCUGUGCCUGCCCAAGCCGUGCACUGAGCAAUAGCCCCCUCCCACGGAUGGCAGUGUACCCAGGCAGAGCAGAGCAGAGCAUGUGAAGUGGACUGGAGACUACAGACCCAUGCAAAGCAGCCAUCUUCCUAGAUAACCAAAAAGUUAAGCUUGGAGAUGCAUAAUUUCAUUUUUAAAUGCAGAACAUAGAAUUAAAAUGUGCCACAUGUCACUUUAUUUUCUAAAAUGUAUUUUAUCUAUAUUUGCCUGACUUCUAUGGCAAUAAAAUCAUUUUGGCAUGACACACAUCUUACAUAAAUGAAAAUAUAAUCCAACAAAAUGGCAUUUUAGGAGCCUUAAGCCAAACAAAUGUUUGAGAGGGCCUUAUUUAAAUUAAGUUGCUGUGCUAUUUAGCUUUUUACAGUAAUGUAGCUGUGUCUCCACAGAGCCUUGUGCAAGGAUGCUGUUUUGGAAGAGACAGGAUGGGAGAUGGGGAGAGAGAGAGGGGCCUGUGCUGACUGCUUGCAGGCCAAGGAGUCAAGAAGUGAGGAAAUGGAGAUGAAGAGUAAGAUCCAUUUUUAUAGGCAGCAUGGAGACGAAAUGAGAGACAUGACAUAGUGGCUUGAGAUGCAGGAUGAGGUGUGACAUAGGAGCCUGAGUGCAGGGAAGGAUGCACCAGGUGAAAGACACCGGACUAAAUGAAAGUCUGCACCCUGACCAUGAGUCCGCCAGCCCUGUUCCUCUGCCCUGUUCCCAGCACUGUGGCAGCCAGGCUUGUCCGAGGCAGGAGACUGGAGAGUUCUCUGGAAGACACUAACUGUACCAGAGGAAAGACCUACAGAAACUCACAUUUGGGAGACUUGGGUGAAACAGCCCAGUGUGUCACACCAUCACCCCACAGUGAAGCCUCCCACCACAACUGCCACCUCCGCUACACAGACCUUCCAAUGGCUGACCAGUGCCUCCUUAUUAAAAAUGAAUGGGGGCACCUGGGUGGCUCAGUCGGUCAGUUGAGCAUCCCAACUCUUGGUUUUGGCUCAGGUCAUGUUCUCAUGGUUCAUGAGAGCCCCAAGACGGGCUCCGUGUUGACAGUAAGGAAUCUGCCUGGGAUUCUCUCUCUCCUUCUCUCUCUGCCCCUCACCCUUCCCCAACAUUGUGCGCACAGGUGCAUGUGUGUGCACACUCUCUCUCAAAACAAAUAAAUAAACUUUAAAAAUAA